GCUGAGCCAAUAAAGCGACUUUUCGUUGUAGGCCCUGUUAAGGGCUUUUACGCAACGGUUAUCUUUUUUUUUUGGCAAGCUUUGUCUUCCUAUUCCUUUGUAUUGUACUCCCUCCCGUCCCCCCUCAAGAAUGCAAUUCUAGAAUGUCAUGUUUUAGUAUAUCAAGUUUAUCAAUUAUAGAUAAAAAGUAUAAAUAUUUAGAACAUAAAAUAAAUAUUAUUAGAUUAAAUAUGAAAUGUAUUUUUAUAGUAAAUUGAUUUGGAAUCAUAAAUAUAAAUAUUAUUUAUUAGAAAUUUGGUCA
Molecule: long non-coding RNA, 301 nt
Filed under: Sorghum bicolor (sorghum)
Lineage: Eukaryota; Viridiplantae; Streptophyta; Magnoliopsida; Poales; Poaceae
Description: long non-coding RNA (SBIC_LNC013312)
Source: RNAcentral